UAAGUUGUGGCCUAGUGAAAAGGCGUUUGGCCGUUAACCAAGAGAUAAUAAGAUCAAUACUUAUCAGCUUAG
RNAcentral lists this transfer RNA (72 nucleotides) under Brisinga sp. SS-2022. RNAcentral's name for it is "tRNA-Asn". It matches the Rfam family "tRNA". Rfam says of the family: Transfer RNA (tRNA) molecules are approximately 80 nucleotides in length. Lineage: Eukaryota; Metazoa; Echinodermata; Asteroidea; Brisingida; Brisingidae. The record is from RNAcentral.